GAAACAUUCCACCACGGCCGGCCGCCGCACCGCAACCUUGGGUUUCCUCUGCGAGAGACGGCGGCGGCGGCUGAGGGCCUAGCCACUCCGCCCGAUGUAUCGCGGCAGCGGGUCGGCGGCUGCUCCCGGCGAGCAGCCCAUCGACGCCAACCCUGUCGAAAAGAAUUCAAAAUGAAAGGAGCCCCAAACAUGAUUUUGCUGCCAUUAUUGAACUGAUUCAAGCGAUCAAUGUAUGCCAUGGCCAGUUUGUGGAGCAAGCACUGGAGCAUAUCCACUAAGAGUACGACUUGCAGUUGUGUUCAUUAUAUCCAGACACCAUGAGGUACUGCUGAAUGAGCUCAAAUCGCCGAGUUGCUUGAGUUGGGAAAGUUCUCAAAAUUCAUGGAUUCCAUUACUCGGGACAGCACACGUCUUCUAAAUGCUGACAACCCCGCGUUUGACUAUGUACAUCGAAUUUUAAACAGCCUUUCUAUUAACACGUAAGCUCUUGGGAAAUCCUCCUUUCCUAUUCAAAUGAUUUAACUUAGAUACACAUCAUCAUUAGUUGAUUAUUUUAUUUCUGCACCUGGAGAUAAUUUAGUAAUAUGUACGCAUCAUGAUUGCGAUGUUUAUUUUUAUUGUUGCAUGUUCUCAAUAAUUUUGUAUGAGUGGUAUUAUUACAAAGUCUACUCAUAUUUCAUACUUAAAUGGUAGUGCAGAAAUUGUUUAUGAGUCCCAUUGCUGUGACAGUCUAAAUGCAGUCUCAGUCUGACGGAUAGUCCAAGGUUCCAAGCCUAUCCAUGGGUACCAGUAUCUCUGUAAUUCCUCCAUUUCAAAGAAGCAUGCCACUACUUAAAGCGAACAUGUAUUUUUUUUUUUUACUUUGUAUGGAGAAAAGUUCACAGUUAAGUUAAUCAUGGCAGAUGAUUUCUGUUAGGUUUGAUUUCCUAUGCCCUCUAUUUAUUGGAGAGUUGAGAUGUCCAAUGCCACGAGUGUAUUGCUAUUAAAAUCCUUAGAGGAAGAUAACAUAAGACAGAACCCAGUUUUGUUUCAUUGAUGUUGCAGCUGACAAAAAGGGUGUUGCCUGGUUAUCUGUGUUACCGACCUAAGUUACCACCAUGCAACAAUGGUGGUGUUGGUUACAUAUGUUAUCUGCAAAACUAACCCCGCUUAUAUCUGCAAAGAAUUUGGGCUUAGCGUACCUAAAUUAGAACAUACGAGCUAGUUAUCGACACUAGAAAAACACUCAUUAAACAGUAAACUUCUCUUCUCUUUUUUUUAAGGACAUUCAAAGAAACUUCCUUUCAUUUAUGGACCUCUGUUCCAAACAAGUUGUGCCAUUUCUUUUUUCCCUCGAACACUUAGUAUGUGCCAUUUCAUUUAGUUGAUCUCGAUGUUACUAAGCUUCAACUACAUUAUCUAUCAGUUUUUUUUUUGAAAUACAUUAUCUAUCAGUUGUUCUUCUACUAUCCUAUCAAGUAAAUAAUGGCAAUGUUGUAAUAUUUUACCUGAUGGAGGAGGGCACACUGCACCUUGCAUGUAUCAGUCUCUAUCUAACGGACAAUGCGUCGUGUUUCCUACAGCGUGCAGGUCUGGUUUUCUUUAGAGAUGCCAUCUGUACUUGGUAUUGGACUUGAGGAAGCCAAUACAAACAUGAUCGACGCGGAUGAGACUGACGGUAGUGACAUUCCAUUGCUGCGUAUACUAAUCAGUUAGACAGCGAAGGCACGACCCUGACUGCUGGUGACGGUUAAUUAAUUGAUUUACUAUACACAACGGGCGUUGCAUCUUAUGUUCCUGUGACUGAGACAAGCAAUACUUGUGGUGAUUCUAAAUUGCAAUGAAUUUGUGCGUGUUCCACGCUGCGCGAUAAUGCUCCAUCGAUGGGGAUUGGUCGUGCGUCACGAAGAGAGCACCGCUGCGUUUAUUAAAUUGCAAAACUGAAAUUUAUAUAGAGAGGUUGCUUUCGUUGUAAUGCUUGCUUCAUUGCGUGCCAUCUUAAAGCUUGGACAUGUGUUUUGGGUGUUUUCUCUUUUGUGCUUCGGGUAAUAGGCAUGCAUAUCCUCCAUGAUUAGGCUGUGCAGGCUGAGAAGUAUGUUUAAUCUGCUCAUUCUGUUUGUUCAAGUGCAAAACACACAGGACUGCUAUGAUGGAUGGAAGACGAAGAAAAAGUGAAAUUACAAAGACUCUAGGAUGACACACUGAACACCUCUGUUUCUUCUUGCAAGGUUUUAAUCCAUGGUGUUUCUCCGUUCCAAACUAAUCGAAGUUCCAGCUUUGUUCUAAGUCAAACUUCUCCAUAUUUGACCAGAAUCAUAGAAAAACGUGUUGACAUCUUUGGAUUCUUUCUGGAAAAUAAAUUUAUGACAAAGAAAAUGAAACAAAUUUGUUGUUAUAGAUGUUGCUAUAUAUUCUUUCUAUAGAUUUGGUCAAAUUUUAAAAAGAAAUUAACUUUGGAACGAAGAAGAAACUAUUAACAAUUUUUUUGGGGACAUCAGAAGUAACUCUUAAUGUGGUUGAACUAAUUAGAUGUCCAACUAAAGAGAAGAAACCGGUGCCCGGCCGGCCAUGGCUUAAAAGAUGCCGCAUUCGUCGUGGAAGUCAUCCAACACGGGCUGUAUCGGUCCACCGAGCGGUUCAGACGUGUUUUCUCUAGCAAAUUGAAGACAAAAAUUGGGGGAGUAUUGCGGGAGUUUAGACAGAAGACACAUAGGACUUCAACACGUAGGAUUCUUACACCCUCGGCCGACCCAAUCCCCACUCUCGGUCUCAUUUCCUUCUGUCCCGCCCCUUCUCCUCCUUGCUUUACAUCCGCACCAUCCACCUCGUGACCGUUGUUGUACGUCUCCAGCUGCCACAGAAGCAUUGCAGGGCGUCCUCAACCAGCACCGACGCGCCCGCUCGCCUCUACGAUGGCCCUGUCCACCCUGGAACCGUUUGUACACACGUACACUCCGCCCCCAUAUAGACGACCUCCAUGGCGAACUCCACACUUGGCAGGUGUUCGAUCAAAUGUCAUUGAGCUUAUUUUUGAACGCAUGUUGUUUUUUAGAGUACGAAGAAUGGUGAGCUACUCGGUCAUGAAGGGUGAGUUGUUGUGCGACGCGUGGUUGGGAGACCUUCUGGCAGCAAGUGCAUGAAAUGUUUUACGCACGGAAGCACAUUACGCCUUAUGACAUGUAUAUCAUUCAAGAAUGCAACGCGAGGUCGUUAUCGUAUUGCUGGCACGCUAUCAAGAAUAGCGUCACCAAGUUUUGCUUCCUCUUGCUUAACUUGUUGAUUGAUUCAUUCACUCAAUGUUGGUCUACAUAUUAUGUAGCCCGCACGCGCCGUCGUGGUGUACCACAGGACAGAGGGACGGCGAUUUACGUACACACUGUUGGA
Long non-coding RNA from Triticum aestivum (bread wheat), 3363 nucleotides. RefSeq lists it as uncharacterized. Lineage: Eukaryota; Viridiplantae; Streptophyta; Magnoliopsida; Poales; Poaceae. The transcript has 4 exons. The record is from RefSeq and is a predicted model, not a curated record.